AUACGUAGGGUGCGAGCGUUGUCCGGACUUACUGGGCGUAAAGAGCUCGUAGGUGGUUUGUCGCGUCGUCUGUGAAAUUCCGGGGCUUAACUCCGGGCGUGCAGGCGAUACGGGCAUAACUUGAGUACUGUAGGGGAGACUGGAAUUCCUGGUGUAGCGGUGAAAUGCGCAGAUAUCAGGAGGAACACCGGUGGCGAAGGCGGGUCUCUGGGCAGUAACUGACGCUGAGGAGCGAAAGCAUGGGUAGCGAACAGGAUUAGAUACCCUGGUAGUCCAUGCCGUAAACGGUGGGCGCUAGGUGUAGGGGUCUUCCACGACUUCUGUGCCGUAGCUAACGCAUUAAGCGCCCCGCCUGGGGAGUACGGCCGCAAGGCUAAAACUCAAAGGAAUUGACGGGG
This 398-nucleotide ribosomal RNA is filed under the name uncultured bacterium. Its description in RNAcentral is "partial 16S ribosomal RNA". It matches the Rfam family "Bacterial small subunit ribosomal RNA", at positions 523 to 918 of the family's 1533-position model. The record is from RNAcentral.